Molecule: long non-coding RNA, 265 nt
Organism: Lycium ferocissimum
Lineage: Eukaryota; Viridiplantae; Streptophyta; Magnoliopsida; Solanales; Solanaceae
Exons: 3
Source: RefSeq, a predicted model, not a curated record
AGGUUAUUCCAAUUACAGUGAUGGACAAUUACAAUCUGGUGGAAUCCUGGGUGUCUCAUAUGACUGAUAUUGAUGAGAAGCAACUAGUUUUGUAUGCUCAGAUGGCAAACCUUGUCAGUCUGAUUCUUCAAUGACCCGAGAUCAAUGUAAAGGAGAUUGCAGAAAACUUUUCUAAGUUUUCAUGUAAUGCACAUACAAUUUGUGACGCUGAACUGAAACCCCUGGGGACAGGCCAUUACCCGGUAGUUUCUAUGAUCAACCACAG